This 924-nucleotide long non-coding RNA is filed under the name Homo sapiens (human). RNAcentral describes it as "HSALNT0201354". Lineage: Eukaryota; Metazoa; Chordata; Mammalia; Primates; Hominidae. The record is from RNAcentral.
CCUAGUGCCUCCAGAAAGAACGCAGCCCUACUGACACCUUGGUUUUGGCCUGGUGAGACCAACUUUGGACUUUUCACUUCCAAAACUGUUGUCUUUCACCAUGUGAAUGGAGAAGUUCCUGGUUCUUCAUAUGCCAAAUGAUUUUGGAUUAAAUCCGACACAUCUUAAAUAUUAUGUUGUGAGAUUCUGGGUCUUGUUUAAUCCUGUGGUGAAUAUGAAUAGUUUUUUUUAGCAGUCUGAUUAGUCAGACUGAAAGUUUAAAACUGCAGUGGUUCCAAUGUCAAGUCAGUUUUAAAAGCCUUGCAAUGUUAUUUGGAUCUACUCCAUCUGCACAUCAGCUGGUGGUCAGUUUGGGAUCACCAAACUGGGUGGAGAUCUGUCUUUUAGUUCAACUCUCUCUUUUAUCUUAUUACAUUUUAUUUUAUUGUGGUAAGAACUUUUAACAUGUAAUAUACCUUCUUGACAGAGUUUUAAGUAUACAUUAUUGUUGAUUAUAGUUAAAAGGUUGUACAGAAGAUCUCUAGAGCUUAUUCAUCUUGAUUAAUUGAAACUUAAUGCCCCUUGAUUAGUAACUCCCCAUUUUCCUCCCCCCAACCACUGGCAACCACCAUUCCACUCUCUGAUUCUAUGAAUUUGAUCAUUUUGGAUACCUCAUCUAAAUGGAAUCAUGUAAUAUUUGUCUUUCUGUGACUGGCUUAUCUGACUUAGGUUCAUCUAUGUCGUUAAGAUUCAUUCAUGUUAUCACACACUGCAGAAUUUUCUUUUUAAAAUUUGUAUAAUAUUUCAUUUUCUUUAUGUAUCUGUCAAUGGACAUUUAGAUUGCUUUUACAUCUUGGAUAUUAUGAAUAAUGUUGCAAUAAACAUGGAAGUGCUGAUAAUUCUUUGAGAUUCUGAUUGUGGUUCUUUUGAAUAAAUACCCAGAAA